This 91-nucleotide ribosomal RNA is filed under the name Legionella pneumophila. Lineage: Bacteria; Pseudomonadati; Pseudomonadota; Gammaproteobacteria; Legionellales; Legionellaceae. RNAcentral also lists the same sequence under 3 other names. The record is from RNAcentral.
CCUGGCGACUAUAGCGAUUUGGAACCACCUGAUACCAUCUCGAACUCAGAAGUGAAACAUUUCCGCGCCAAUGAUAGUGUGAGGCUUCCUC